RNAcentral lists this ribosomal RNA (597 nucleotides) under Triticum aestivum (bread wheat). RNAcentral's name for it is "partial small subunit ribosomal RNA". The record is from RNAcentral. Lineage: Eukaryota; Viridiplantae; Streptophyta; Magnoliopsida; Poales; Poaceae.
AUGGCAAGAGACCACUACCAUCAGUGUAGUGGUAUAGCAUACUGUGAGCAAUCAGGAACAAAAACAGGAGGUUUAAUUUUCACAAAUCGUUCUUGUCUCACUCACACCUCAAAAUGCAAGUUUGGGAGGGCGGUGCUGGGAGGUGUGGUGAGGAGAGCAAAUCUGGCAAAUGGCAAUAGAGCAGCAUGCAAGCAAACACCACCGGAGUGGCAAAGAGGUGUAGGGAGGCCGUCGAACAGCCGGGAGAAAGCACCACACGAGGGUCUGAGCAAGCAUACCAGGUUUUGCAGCAUCUGCCCCCGUGAAGGCCACAAGCUGACGACAUGCCCUGAUCGUGGAGAUGCACCUAAACAGCCCCGCAAACCCGGAAAGUCGCGGGCAACUUCAGUACGGGGUCUACAGCUGACGCAUGGAGCACGACGGCGGCACAUGUUUAAUCUGCAGUGGUUGCGGAGGAGGAACAAUGCUGAGCCGUGCGCUGAAAGCCUGAUCCGCCCUCUGGACGAUGCCUCCGUCACAAUGAAUGCGCCCAGGCCCACCAAAACUUCAGACGAAAUACUUACUGAAUACAGCUAUGAGUACAUAGAGGGGCGCUGA